UAAAUUAUGACGUCAUAUGCAAUGUAAACAAAGAAACGCUAUCAUCAGGUAAUGUUUUUUCAUAUCAAGGAAUUAUUAAAAAUGAAAUUGGUAUUGCGCGUUCCUUCCUAUUUUAUACAAGACUGAUAAAUAUAUAUUUUACUCAAAGUUUCAUACAAACGAGACCGGAAAAAGGAAGUACGUUGUACAUUUCUGCGCAGGUCCGGGAUUUCAAAACACGACAAAAAAAAAAUUGAACGAUUUUGAGUUCAUUAGUACAAUGAAAAAUUCGGGAAAUUUUCAGGUAUUUUUUUUUUUAUUGAAUUUUCUACUGUUAUUGGGGACUCUGUCCCCAUA
RNAcentral lists this long non-coding RNA (336 nucleotides) under Mytilus galloprovincialis (Mediterranean mussel). The record is from RNAcentral. Lineage: Eukaryota; Metazoa; Mollusca; Bivalvia; Mytilida; Mytilidae.